This 22-nucleotide microRNA is filed under the name Danio rerio (zebrafish). RNAcentral's name for it is "dre-miR-18c". Its record names the gene dre-miR-18c. The record is from miRBase by way of RNAcentral. RNAcentral also lists the same sequence under 1 other name. Lineage: Eukaryota; Metazoa; Chordata; Actinopteri; Cypriniformes; Danionidae.
UAAGGUGCAUCUUGUGUAGUUA